Molecule: long non-coding RNA, 675 nt
Organism: Pogonomyrmex barbatus (red harvester ant)
Lineage: Eukaryota; Metazoa; Arthropoda; Insecta; Hymenoptera; Formicidae
Source: RefSeq, a predicted model, not a curated record
CUGACCUAAAUAAAUUCGCGUCCUACAAAUUUAUUUUUAAUCUGCUUUGCACGCCCAGCAUUCUAUAACACAACAAUGCAACAUGAUUGAGAAUCAAUCCUUUUAUGGAACUCCAUCCAUGCAUUUUAUAGAUUUGUAAUUGUCGCUGCUUGGCAUUCGAGACACGCGAGUGAUCUGUAUAUGCGAAGAGAAUGACGUAGUUUUGUGAUAUUGCUUUUAAUAAUUUAAUCGAUUUCUUUCGUGCAUAACAAUUAAUUCCUGUCGGAAAGCAACUCUGCAAGAAUUUACGUCAUCCUUGAUUGUGUUAUCGGCGCGUGAGAUUGGGGAUGAAGGAGUUAAAAAACACAUUCUGGAGAUCGCACGUACACGACCUUGUCUCGCUAAAAGUGAUCGAGGCGCGCUCAAUUAAAUUCCGAAAUAUUAGAAUUAAUUGAUUGGAGAUAACACAUUUUCUUGCGUGCUGAAUACGAGAUUAGAAGUCAUAAUGAUAAAGGGGAAGCAUAUGUAAGGGGAAAAUUGUUUUGCUCGUUUUCACGCUUCGCGCAUUUAAAGGCCAACAUAAAACGAAUAGAGUGAAGAACCGAUGAAGAACCUUUGCGAUAGUUUCGUCAAUGCAACAUGACGUAAUCGUUCGACAAAUUCUAGCUAGAAAGAGAAAAAGAGAGGGACAAGUGA